Molecule: transfer RNA, 74 nt
Filed under: Ovis aries (sheep)
Lineage: Eukaryota; Metazoa; Chordata; Mammalia; Artiodactyla; Bovidae
Rfam family: tRNA
About the family: Transfer RNA (tRNA) molecules are approximately 80 nucleotides in length. Their secondary structure includes four short double-helical elements and three loops (D, anti-codon, and T loops).
Source: Rfam by way of RNAcentral
UCUCUGGAAGCCCAGUGGUUAAAGGCUCUGGGCUUCCAAUGCAGAGGACUCAGGUUUGAUCUCUGAUCAGGGAA